CCUACGGGAGGCAGCAGUGGGGAAUUUUGGACAAUGGGCGCAAGCCUGAUCCAGCAAUGCCGCGUGCAGGAUGAAGGCCUUCGGGUUGUAAACUGCUUUUGUACGGAACGAAAGGCUCUGGCUAAUACCUGGGGCUGAUUACGGUACCGUAAGAAUAAGCACCGGCUAACUACGUGCCAGCAGCCGCGGUAAUACGUAGGGUGUGAGCGUUAAUCGGAAUUACUGGGCGUAAAGCGUGCGCAGGCGGUUUUGUAAGACAGGUGUAAAAUCCCCGGGCUUAACCGGGGAACUGCACUUGUGACUGCAAGGCUGGAGUACGGCAGAGGGGGAUGGAAUUCCGCGUGUAGCAGUAAAAUGCGUAGAUAUGCGGAGGACCACCGAUGGCGAAGGCAGUCCCCGGGGCCUGUACUGACGCUCAUGCACGAAAGCGGGGGAAGCAAACGGGAUUAGAUCCCCCUGUAGU
This 463-nucleotide ribosomal RNA is filed under the name uncultured Comamonadaceae bacterium. Its description in RNAcentral is "partial 16S ribosomal RNA". It matches the Rfam family "Bacterial small subunit ribosomal RNA", at positions 338 to 794 of the family's 1533-position model. Lineage: Bacteria; Pseudomonadati; Pseudomonadota; Betaproteobacteria; Burkholderiales; Comamonadaceae. The record is from RNAcentral.